UACGCGUCAACGUAGCUUGCUCCGGAUGUUAGCGGCGGACGGGUGAGUAACACGUGGGUAACCUGCCUGUAAGACUGGGAUAACUCCGGGAAACCGGAGCUAAUACCGGAUAGUUCCUUGAACCGCAUGGUUCAAGGAUGAAAGACGGUUUCGGCUGUCACUUACAGAUGGACCCGCGGCGCAUUAGCUAGUUGGUGAGGUAACGGCUCACCAAGGCGACGAUGCGUAGCCGACCUGAGAGGGUGAUCGGCCACACUGGGACUGAGACACGGCCCAGACUCCUACGGGAGGCAGCAGUAGGGAAUCUUCCGCAAUGGACGAAAGUCUGACGGAGCAACGCCGCGUGAGUGAUGAAGGUUUUCGGAUCGUAAAGCUCUGUUGUUAGGGAAGAACAAGUGCAAGAGUAACUGCUUGCACCUUGACGGUACCUAACCAGAAAGCCACGGCUAACUACGUGCCAGCAGCCGCGGUAAUACGUAGGUGGCAAGCGUUGUCCGGAAUUAUUGGGCGUAAAGGGCUCGCAGGCGGUUUCUUAAGUCUGAUGUGAAAGCCCCCGGCUCAACCGGGGAGGGUCAUUGGAAACUGGGAAACUUGAGUGCAGAAGAGGAGAGUGGAAUUCCACGUGUAGCGGUGAAAUGCGUAGAGAUGUGGAGGAACACCAGUGGCGAACGCGACUCUCUGGUCUGUAACUGACGCUGAGGAGCGAAAGCGUGGGGAGCGAACAGGAUUAGAUACCCUGGUAGUCCACGCCGUAAACGAUGAGUGCUAAGUGUUAGGGGUUUCGCCCCUUAGUGCUGCAGCUAAGGCAUUAAGCACUCCGCCUGGGGAGUACGGUCGCAGACUGAAACUCAAAGAUUGACGGGGCCGCCCAAGCGGUGGAGCAUGUGGUUUAUUCGAACAACGCGAAAACCUUACCAGUCUUGACUCUCUCUGACACCCUGGGAUAG
Molecule: ribosomal RNA, 947 nt
Filed under: Bacillus pumilus
Lineage: Bacteria; Bacillati; Bacillota; Bacilli; Caryophanales; Bacillaceae
Description: bacterial SSU rRNA
Rfam family: Bacterial small subunit ribosomal RNA
Source: RNAcentral